RNAcentral lists this non-coding RNA (24 nucleotides) under Arabidopsis thaliana (thale cress). The record is from RNAcentral. Lineage: Eukaryota; Viridiplantae; Streptophyta; Magnoliopsida; Brassicales; Brassicaceae.
AACAUAAUUGGAUCCACAUGUAGU